GAUGAACGCUGGCGGCGUGCCUAAUACAUGCAAGUCGAGCGAACAGACGAGGAGCUUGCUCCUCUGACGUUAGCGGCGGACGGGUGAGUAACACGUGGAUAACCUACCUAUAAGACUGGGAUAACUUCGGGAAACCGGAGCUAAUACCGGAUAAUAUAUUGAACCGCAUGGUUCAAUAGUGAAAGACGGUUUUGCUGUCUCCUCUAGAUGGAUCCGCGCCGCAUUAGCUAGUUGGUAAGGUAACGGCUUACCAAGGCAACGAUGCGUAGCCGACAUGAGAGGGUGAGCGGCCACACUGGAACUGAGACACGGUCCAGACUCCUACGGGAGGCAGCAGGAGGGAAUCUUGCGCAAUGGGCGAAAGCCUGACGGAGCAACGCCGCGUGAGUGAUGAAGAUCUUCGGGUCGUAAAACUCUGUUAUUAGGGAAGAACAAAUGUGUAAGUAACUAGGAACGUCUUGACGGUACCUAAUCAGAGAGGCACGGCUAACUACGUG
This 497-nucleotide ribosomal RNA is filed under the name uncultured bacterium. RNAcentral's name for it is "partial 16S ribosomal RNA". It matches the Rfam family "Bacterial small subunit ribosomal RNA", at positions 28 to 507 of the family's 1533-position model. The record is from RNAcentral.